Molecule: ribosomal RNA, 253 nt
Filed under: uncultured bacterium
Lineage: Bacteria
Description: partial 16S ribosomal RNA
Rfam family: Bacterial small subunit ribosomal RNA
Source: RNAcentral
GACAGAGGGUGCAAACGUUGUUCGGAAUUACUGGGCGUAAAGCGUGCGCAGACGGUUGCGUAAGUCAGAUGUGAAAGCCCCGGGCUCAACCUGGGAAUUGCAUUUGAGACUGCGUAGCUAGGGUGCGGAAGAGGGAAGCGGAAUUUCCGGUGUAGCGGUGAAAUGCGUAGAUAUCGGAAGGAACACCAGUGGCGAAAGCGGCUUCCUGGUCCAGCACCGACGUUCAGGCACGAAAGCGUGGGGAGCAAACAGG